UUCUUAUUAGCUCAAUGGUAGAGCUGGGCAUUCCUAAUGCUUAGAUCUGAGUUCAAAUCUCAGAUAAGAAC
RNAcentral lists this transfer RNA (71 nucleotides) under Heterodermia casarettiana. Its description in RNAcentral is "tRNA-Arg". It matches the Rfam family "tRNA". Rfam says of the family: Transfer RNA (tRNA) molecules are approximately 80 nucleotides in length. Their secondary structure includes four short double-helical elements and three loops (D, anti-codon, and T loops). Further hydrogen bonds mediate the characteristic L-shaped molecular structure. tRNAs have two regions of fundamental functional importance: the anti-codon, which is responsible for specific mRNA codon recognition, and the 3' end, to which the tRNAs corresponding amino acid is attached (by aminoacyl-tRNA synthetases). tRNAs cope with the degeneracy of the genetic code in two manners: having more than one tRNA (with a specific anti-codon) for a particular amino acid; and 'wobble' base-pairing, i.e. permitting non-standard base-pairing at the 3rd anti-codon position. Lineage: Eukaryota; Fungi; Ascomycota; Lecanoromycetes; Caliciales; Physciaceae. The record is from RNAcentral.